Etheostoma spectabile (orangethroat darter) is the source of this 86-nucleotide long non-coding RNA. RefSeq lists it as uncharacterized. The transcript has 3 exons. The record is from RefSeq and is a predicted model, not a curated record. Lineage: Eukaryota; Metazoa; Chordata; Actinopteri; Perciformes; Percidae.
UUAAGACUAUCAGCACCACACAGCUCUCUUUGUAUUUCUCGGUAUGGCUCUGUUCAGAAGAUGGUGGCGUCCAGAAACUACGCACU